AGAUUGAACGCUGGCGGUAUGCUUAACACAUGCAAGUCGAACGGCAGCACAGGGUAGCUUGCUAUCCGGGUGGCGAGUGGCGGACGGGUGAGUAACGCGUAGGAAUCUACCUUUUUGUGGGGGAUAACCCGGGGAAACUCGGGCUAAUACCGCAUACGCCCUACGGGGGAAAGCGGGGGACCUUUGGGCCUCGCGCAAAAAGAUGAGCCUGCGUCCUAUCAGGUAGUUGGUGAGGUAAUGGCUCACCAAGCCGACGACGGUAGCUGGUCUGAGAGGACGACCAGCCACACUGGGACUGAGACACGGCCCAGACUCCUACGGGAGCAGCAGUGGGGAAUUUGGACAGUGGACGCAAGUCUGAUCCAGCCAUUCCGCGUGCGAGGAUGAAGGCCCUCGGGUUAGUAAACUGUCGUUUUAGGACGAACGAAAGCCGCUACUCGUAAGUACGGGCGUCAGUGACGUACCGUAC
This 469-nucleotide ribosomal RNA is filed under the name uncultured soil bacterium. Its description in RNAcentral is "bacterial SSU rRNA". It matches the Rfam family "Bacterial small subunit ribosomal RNA", at positions 26 to 482 of the family's 1533-position model. The record is from RNAcentral.